CUAAAGGGAGAGAGGGAAGAGGGAAGGAGGGAUAACGUAGGAAAGAGAUCUCCCUCCUCCUUCCACCCUGGUCUCCCUUCCC
MicroRNA precursor from Bos grunniens (domestic yak), 82 nucleotides. Lineage: Eukaryota; Metazoa; Chordata; Mammalia; Artiodactyla; Bovidae. The record is from Ensembl.